GGGGAUUUAGCUCAGUCACAUUAGCGCCUGCCUGGCAAGCAGGAGGACAUGAGUUCAAUCCCCA
This 64-nucleotide transfer RNA is filed under the name Cavia porcellus (domestic guinea pig). It matches the Rfam family "tRNA", at positions 1 to 62 of the family's 71-position model. From Rfam's summary of the family: Transfer RNA (tRNA) molecules are approximately 80 nucleotides in length. Lineage: Eukaryota; Metazoa; Chordata; Mammalia; Rodentia; Caviidae. The record is from Rfam by way of RNAcentral.